Molecule: signal recognition particle RNA, 100 nt
Filed under: Nitrospira sp.
Lineage: Bacteria; Pseudomonadati; Nitrospirota; Nitrospiria; Nitrospirales; Nitrospiraceae
Description: signal recognition particle sRNA small type
Rfam family: Bacterial small signal recognition particle RNA
About the family: The signal recognition particle (SRP) is a universally conserved ribonucleoprotein involved in the co-translational targeting of proteins to membranes. Archaeal SRP consists of a 7S RNA and homologues of the eukaryotic SRP19 and SRP54 proteins.
Source: RNAcentral
GGCUGGGCCCUGUGCAGCAGAAUCUUGUGAACCCCGCCAGAUCCGGAAGGAAGCAACGGUAAGCAGGCGAGUCUGUGUGCUACAGGAUCACCCGGCCCCG